This 1618-nucleotide long non-coding RNA is filed under the name Theobroma cacao (cacao). Its description in RNAcentral is "long non-coding RNA (TCAC_LNC000641)". The record is from RNAcentral. Lineage: Eukaryota; Viridiplantae; Streptophyta; Magnoliopsida; Malvales; Malvaceae.
AUGGUGCCUAUGCUGCUGUUGUUCCUUCCGCCUCAUUUCCUCCUCAAUGUUGACAUCAUGCAAAGUAGUCUCUUCACAGUCAUCAACCUCCAUGUCUGUCAAGUGUUUACUAGACCUCAUGGGCAAUAUAGUCUCUAACGUACGGCAUUGCUCAGGUGAAAAAACCCCAGAUUCUGGGAAAUCAACAUUGAAAUGGAUGAAUAGCCUGCCCUUCAUGAAAGGUCUUUGAUGAUGGGGCAUACCCUCAUCAUUGAUAGCCUUGUAUUGACCUGCAUUUUCAAGCAGGGGAGAGGAGAUGAGUGAUUGGACGUCAACUUGGAAAAGUAGUUUAAUAAAUAAAUAUGCAAAGGAAAUUACCAGGCUUAAUGACCUCCCCAGGGUUUGAUUUAAUUAGAAGCUGCCUGCCAUCAAGGUGAGUUAGGGCAAACUGAUACCCACACAGAGCCUCUGUCAAACUGAGGUUGUGUUCAACAUAGAGGUCAUCGAAUUUCCGUUCAAAUUUAGGGUGUUUCUUCAGUUGCAAAAGAAAAACAAUGUCUCCAGUAAUUGUAUCUGGCUGCAAAUGAUGAAAAGCACUUGGUCAAGAUAGAAAUAUUAAAAAAAUGCCACAUACAAGAGAAAAAGUAUUUAACUUACAGCUUCAUCAGCUUGUCCUUCAAAUGUAAUUUUCUGGCCAUUUUGCAUUCCUUUCUCAAUAUGUACUUCAAGCACCUUCUUUUCCUGAGUAACCUUGUUUCCUUUGCACUGUGGGCAUCUAUCUCUCUCACUGAUCACUUCACCUGCAAGGAAGGAGAUGAAAUCCGUGUUCAGAAAUCUGUACAUCGAAUGUGUACCCAGCCCAAGACAAAGCAGGUUAAAUUCAAAUACCUGAGCCUCGGCAUUCAGGACAGACAUGCUGCAUCUGUUGGAUCAUCCCCAGUCCAAUCUGACGUGUUGUAACUUUCAUUCCUGUACCCUGACAACCAUAACAUCUAGAAGAGGCUCCACUCUUUGAACCUUUCCUGAAAAUUUUCAAAAUGCAGGUGAACAAAAGGUCAUCACACAAGGUUCUUCACAGACUAGGAUAUAGGAGAACAAGGAAGGAGGGAAGAUGAACAACUUGCAAGAUAGACUCAUAGACAACAAGCUAUUGACUAAAUACUCAAAAGAAAACAUUUGGCUCAAAGCACCACAUAUCCAAACUCAAAGAGACUCUAGUUAACAGUAAAAAGUUUCUGCGAUGGAAGACAGACCCUUUACAUUUGCUGCAUAGAGCAUUCCUGGAAAGAGAGAGUUUCUUUGUUGUUCCAUUGUACAAGUCUUCCAAAGAAACUUUUAGACUAUGCACAACAUCUUCACCUCGCUUUUGCCUUCUUCCUCUUGAGCUACCACCACCUAAAUGUUGAAAAGACAUGUUAUUAAAAAUUGCUACAGUACUUUCCAAAAGAGGAAGUACAAAAAUGGAUAACAAAAUAAUCUCUUACCACCAAAGGCUCCACCACCAAAAAAUGAUUCAAAUAUGUCAAAUGGGUUAUGAGAAGAAGCACCUCCUCCCAUUCCCUCUUUAAGAGCAUCUUCACCAUAUUGGUCAUAUAUUUCUCUCUUCUCAGGAUCGCUAAGAACUUCAUAAGCUUGAGCC